Molecule: ribosomal RNA, 1266 nt
Filed under: Bacillus aerophilus
Lineage: Bacteria; Bacillati; Bacillota; Bacilli; Caryophanales; Bacillaceae
Description: bacterial SSU rRNA
Rfam family: Bacterial small subunit ribosomal RNA
Source: RNAcentral
AACACGUGGGUAACCUGCCUGUAAGACUGGGAUAACUCCGGGAAACCGGAGCUAAUACCGGAUAGUUCCUUGAACCGCAUGGUUCAAGGAUGAAAGACGGUUUCGGCUGUCACUUACAGAUGGACCCGCGGCGCAUUAGCUAGUUGGUGAGGUAACGGCUCACCAAGGCGACGAUGCGUAGCCGACCUGAGAGGGUGAUCGGCCACACUGGGACUGAGACACGGCCCAGACUCCUACGGGAGGCAGCAGUAGGGAAUCUUCCGCAAUGGACGAAAGUCUGACGGAGCAACGCCGCGUGAGUGAUGAAGGUUUUCGGAUCGUAAAGCUCUGUUGUUAGGGAAGAACAAGUGCAAGAGUAACUGCUUGCACCUUGACGGUACCUAACCAGAAAGCCACGGCUAACUACGUGCCAGCAGCCGCGGUAAUACGUAGGUGGCAAGCGUUGUCCGGAAUUAUUGGGCGUAAAGGGCUCGCAGGCGGUUUCUUAAGUCUGAUGUGAAAGCCCCCGGCUCAACCGGGGAGGGUCAUUGGAAACUGGGAAACUUGAGUGCAGAAGAGGAGAGUGGAAUUCCACGUGUAGCGGUGAAAUGCGUAGAGAUGUGGAGGAACACCAGUGGCGAAGGCGACUCUCUGGUCUGUAACUGACGCUGAGGAGCGAAAGCGUGGGGAGCGAACAGGAUUAGAUACCCUGGUAGUCCACGCCGUAAACGAUGAGUGCUAAGUGUUAGGGGGUUUCCGCCCCUUAGUGCUGCAGCUAACGCAUUAAGCACUCCGCCUGGGGAGUACGGUCGCAAGACUGAAACUCAAAGGAAUUGACGGGGGCCCGCACAAGCGGUGGAGCAUGUGGUUUAAUUCGAAGCAACGCGAAGAACCUUACCAGGUCUUGACAUCCUCUGACAACCCUAGAGAUAGGGCUUUCCCUUCGGGGACAGAGUGACAGGUGGUGCAUGGUUGUCGUCAGCUCGUGUCGUGAGAUGUUGGGUUAAGUCCCGCAACGAGCGCAACCCUUGAUCUUAGUUGCCAGCAUUCAGUUGGGCACUCUAAGGUGACUGCCGGUGACAAACCGGAGGAAGGUGGGGAUGACGUCAAAUCAUCAUGCCCCUUAUGACCUGGGCUACACACGUGCUACAAUGGACAGAACAAAGGGCUGCGAGACCGCAAGGUUUAGCCAAUCCCACAAAUCUGUUCUCAGUUCGGAUCGCAGUCUGCAACUCGACUGCGUGAAGCUGGAAUCGCUAGUAAUCGCGGAUCAGCAUGCCGCGGUGA